Molecule: non-coding RNA, 77 nt
Organism: Trichobilharzia regenti
Lineage: Eukaryota; Metazoa; Platyhelminthes; Trematoda; Strigeidida; Schistosomatidae
Source: Rfam
AAACUGGUUGAUUCUGCCAGUAGUCAUAUGCUUGUCUCAGAGAUUAAGCCAGGCAUGUCUAAGUACAUACCUUAAAA